This 459-nucleotide ribosomal RNA is filed under the name uncultured bacterium. RNAcentral describes it as "bacterial SSU rRNA". It matches the Rfam family "Bacterial small subunit ribosomal RNA", at positions 923 to 1379 of the family's 1533-position model. The record is from RNAcentral.
GCACAAGCGGUGGAGCAUGUGGUUUAAUUCGACGCAACGCGCAGAACCUUACCAGCCCUUGACAUCCCGGUCGCGGACUCCAGAGACGGAGUUCUUCAGUUCGGCUGGACCGGAGACAGGUGCUGCAUGGCUGUCGUCAGCUCGUGCCGUGAGAUGUUGGGUUAAGUCCCGCAACGAGCGCAACCCCCGUCCUUAGUUGCUACCAUUUAGUUGAGCACUCUAAGGAGACUGCCGGUGAUAAGCCGCGAGGAAGGUGGGGAUGACGUCAAGUCCUCAUGGCCCUUACAAGGUGGGCUACACACGUGCUACAAUGGCGACUACAGAGGGCUGCAAACCCGCGAGGGGGAGCCAAUCCCUAAAAGUCGUCUCAGUUCGGAUUGCACUCUGCAACUCGAGUGCAUGAAGUUGGAAUCGCUAGUAAUCGCGGAUCAGCAUGCCGCGGUGAAUACGUUCCCGGGC